Molecule: long non-coding RNA, 992 nt
Filed under: Amborella trichopoda
Lineage: Eukaryota; Viridiplantae; Streptophyta; Magnoliopsida; Amborellales; Amborellaceae
Description: long non-coding RNA (ATRI_LNC002074)
Source: RNAcentral
GCACAAAGUCCUGAAAUUUUUUUAGAAUUUUGUGACAGUUUUUUAAAUUUUAUUUGUCAUAAUUAGGAGUGAUUGUAUGAAAAAUUAGUUUGGUUGGCAGUUUUGCAAAUAAUAGAAGAGAAUAUCCUCAAAUUUUAGGCACAUUAGUGCACUAUCUCGAUACAUUAUUUGCCCCUUAUUGAUAAUAAUUAGUGUACAUUGUCUCUAAUUUCAAAGGAUUUUUUGAUCUCUAAUUUCUAAGGGAUUUUUGGGUUAUUUUCCUAAAAUUUUCUAAGCUUUUGACUUAUGAAAGUCUAGAGGGGUUUAUAUAGGCUUCAAACUGGUGUCUAAUCCAAUUAGAAUUGGAAGUAAAUCCAUCUUUAGGCUUGAUGAUAGGAUUUGACUAGUUGAUUGGGCAAAGUAAUUAGACUUCUACAGGUUUUAAGAUUUUAGAAUACUCCCAAAAAACACCUUCCAGAAGUAAAAUCCAAAGUUCGGCCAAUAUCGAAAAGUGUUAGUUUGAACAAUAGAUAGUUUCCCAAAAAAUUCGAUCCAGUUCUGGGUUUGUGGCGAAAUAUCGCAUCGUGAGCCCAUUGGGCCAACUAGAGCAUAUUGUAGUGCUGGCUUGAUCUGGCCGAAAAUCUCCUAGAUGAUGCUAGACAGCUUUCUGAUCCCUUUAUUGGUAGUUUGAUCCAAUUUGAAGGUGUUUAUGUGGUUCUGAUUUGAGGUUUUCGAUGGUUUGCAUGUUGUUCUGGAUAAGUUUGGAUCAAUAACAACAUAUUUAGACAGAUUUGGGUUGUUUUUUUUAGAUAGGUUAGAAUUGACUAGAUUUAGGAAUAUUUUCUUAGAUUUGAUGGUUUUGGGAAUAUUCCCUAGGGAUUCCUUGAGACUGUGGACUAUGGUGGGCCUAUGAAGCUAGUGUGGUCCUCAAGGAUUUAAAGCCAUAGUUUAUGGGAAUUCUUUUAGCCAAAAUUUGAAGGAGGUGUCUACAGUAAAUAUUUUAUUUUUAUUUG